Molecule: ribosomal RNA, 497 nt
Filed under: uncultured bacterium
Lineage: Bacteria
Description: partial 16S ribosomal RNA
Rfam family: Bacterial small subunit ribosomal RNA
Source: RNAcentral
GAUGAACGCUGGCGGCGUGCCUAAUACAUGCAAGUCGAGCGAACAGACGAGGAGCUUACUCCUCUGACGUUAGCGGCGGACGGGUGAGUAACACGUGGAUAACCUACCUAUAAGACUGGGAUAACUUCGGGAAACCGGAGCUAAUACCGGAUAACAUGUUGAACCGCAUGGUUCAACAGUGAAAGACGGUCUUGCUGUCACUUAUAGAUGGAUCCGGGUCGCAUUAGCUAGUUGGUAAGGUAACGGCUUACCAAGGCAACGAUGCGUAGCCGACCUGAGAGGGUGAUCGGCCACACUGGAACUUAGGCACGGUCCAGAGUCCUACGGGAGGCAGCAGUAGGGAAUCUUCCGCAAUGGGCGAAAGCCUGACGGAGCAACGCCGCGUGAGUGAAGAAGGUCUUCGGAUCGUAAAACUCUGUUAUUAGGGAAGAACAAAUGUGUAAGUAACUAUGCACGUCUUGACGGUACCGAAUCAGAAAGCCACGGCUAACUACGUG